Molecule: long non-coding RNA, 11906 nt
Filed under: Theobroma cacao (cacao)
Lineage: Eukaryota; Viridiplantae; Streptophyta; Magnoliopsida; Malvales; Malvaceae
Description: long non-coding RNA (TCAC_LNC003636)
Source: RNAcentral
AAAGUGAAUCCUUAGAUGUCUUGCUUAACAGGACAGGUACAAUCAGGACAGUUACAGCAGGCAUCUUUAAAGCAAAAUCGGACUAUGUUACAGAACCUAUUCCUGAAAUUGCAUUAGAAGGUCUAUGGCAAUGGUUUUACGAAGAUGAAUCUGGGACGUUGGAGCUUAUCUUUAGUCCUUACGGUGGCAUAAUGGAUGAGAUUUCAGAGUCUGAGACUCCUUUCCCUCACAGGGCAGGGAAUUUAUAUAACAUUCAUUAUGCAGUAUCAUGGGAAGAAGAAGAUUCUUCAACAUCUCAGAAGCAUAUAAAUUUUAUGAGAAGGCUUUACAAGUACAUGGAACCCUACGUUUCAAAAUCUCCCAGAGCAGCUUACAUGAACUACAGGGAUCUUGAUCUUGGAAGUAAUAACGAAGGCAACUACACAAGCUAUACACAAGCAAGCAGAUGGGCUCUUAAAUAUUUCAAGAAUAACUUCAACAGAUUGAUUCAUGUGAAGAGUAUGGUUGAUCCGCAAAAUUUCUUUAGACAUGAACAAAGUGUCCCGACUCUUUUACAAGGAUGAGGAAGAUGGAUGAUAUAAUUAAAUAAUGCUUUAUUGAUAGAAAGGACACUCAUACUAUAUGGGGUUUUAGAUUCUCUCUAAGUAUAAAUAAAAGUACAUCUGUUAUGUGUGUAUUGAAAACCGAAUAUAUCUUUAUGUAUUUUUCAAAAUAAAUAUAUUUAGAGAUAAAACUUUAUAUACGUGCCUCGAAUUAUAAAAAAAAGUGAAUAGUUUUUCAUCUCAUAAUCUUUAUUCUUUUUUUUUAAAUUCGAAUGCCAAAUUUGCAAGAUAGACAAUCAUUUAUAUACAUUCUGAGAACAUUUUCAUGGUAUACUUCUGUAUUUCUUUUAGUGAAUUGGGGUAUAUUUUUCAUAACAUUCUGCGGCAUAUUUUGUUAUAUAAUAAUGUGUAAGUCUAGAGUUGAUUUUUCAACCAAAGAAGAUUCCUACGCUCCAUAUUUUAAUUUAUGAUAAAUUUCAGUGCGGGCAGAAGUAUUAAUUUGAAGAUUCCUAUGCUCCAUCCUUGUCUAUGUUUUAGCCAUUGUUAAUUUCUCUCUCUCUCUCUCUCUCUCUACGCUCCUUAUUUUCUUUUCAUCAUAUCCAAAUUAUAUAAAACUUGAUUACAAAAAGAAACGUCAAACCAAUGAAAAUAAAGGGAUUAUAGUAAUGUACGUACACAAAUAUUGGUCAACAAUGAAAUCUAGACAUAACGUAUCUUUGUCAACAAAAUUAGGUGUUAGUAAAAGAGUAACGUAGCACAGGUGUUCACCUUGGGUGCUAUAAGAAGGAUGAGAUGGGAUGUCUGAAAAUCACUCCAGCACGAAAUCGAGUAACCCAAAAUGAAGUCGCCUAGCUUGUCAAUGACUCUGUUUCUUCAUGUUCUAUUCUCAUUUUCGUGGGCAAUUUUGGCACAUACUCAUGACAGCUUUCUCCAAUGUCUUUCCCUACAUUCUGACAUAAACGCCAGACUCAUUUACACUGCAAACACUUCUUCCUAUUCAUCCGUCUUGGAGAUUUCCGUUCGGAAUGCUAGGUUUUCUACACCAACUACCCCGAAACCUUCAGUCAUAGUUACGCCCUCCAACGUCUCCCACAUCCAAGCAACAAUUAAUUGCUCUAGGGAACACGACAUGCAGAUUAGAAUUCAAAGUGGUGGUCAUAACUACGAGAGUCUUUCUUAUGUUGCUCUAAUUCCGUUCGUCAUCAUUGAUUUGAUUAACAUGCAAUCAAUCGAUGUUUACACAGAAAAUAUAACAUCCAUUAUGGAGUAGCAUGGCAAGAAGAUGCUUCAACAUCUCAGAAGCAUAUAAGUUUUAUGAGAAGGCUUUGCAAGUACAUGGAACCCUACGUUUCAAAAUCUCCCAGAGCAGCUUACAUGAACAACAGGGAUCUUGACCUUGGAAGUAAUAACAAAGGCAAUUACACGAGCUAUAGACAAGCAAGCAGAUGGGGCCUUAAAUAUUUCAACAAUAACUUUAACAAAUUGAUUCAUGUGAAGAGUAUGGUUGAUCUGCAAAAUUUCUUUAGACAUGAACAAAGCAUCCCAUCGUUUUUGUGAGAAUGAGGAAGGUAAAAGAUAUAAUUAGUGCCUUAUUGAUUAUGGGGAUACUCACAUCACACUAAACAUGAUUUUAGAUUAUUACUAAGCAUAAAUAAAAGCACUUUAGUGGUUAGGUGCAUGUAUUGAAAAUUGAGGACAUCGUUAUGCAGUCUCUUAAAUAUUUACAUGCAAUAUAUACAUUAAAAAAUAAGAUUCUUUGCGCUUUAAGUUAGGUAAAAAGAGAUAACACUUUCUUAUCCUGUAAUCUUUGUCCCUUUUGCUUUCAAGAUUCGAAUUUGAGACUGACAAGAUAAAAUUUGAAGAUAAGAAUUUAUAGUUUAAUUGAACAAGAGGUAGUAAUUCAAAAUGUUUUUGACUAUCAAGAAUCAACUAGGUGUAAAUUUCUUGCAGCAAUUUUUACUACAACAAAAUUGAGUUUUAAUCACACUUUUUUCAACGACAUAUAUUUUUGUAUUGUGAAAUCUUAAAAAGUACAGCUAUUUAACUUUUGGUUUCAUUUUUUUCACAUUUAGUAGCAAUAUAAAAAGAUGCAACCUUUAUUAGUAUAUGUAAUUUCUAUGGUUACAUUUUAUUAAUAAUGCAUAUAAAAAUUUAUAUAGUAACGUUAAAUCUACAAAAUAUUCCAAAAAGUAUAUAAAAAAAGUGUUAUUAAAAAUAUUUUUAAUAAAACAUUUUAAAAAUAUGCCGUCUUUAGUCAAAUUUGUUAUAGUGUUAAAAAAACAAAAUUUCUAUCUUAAGCAAAUAAUUUUGGAAAUUAUGUAGUUUCCAAAGAGAUUUGUCUAUGUACUAAUAAUAACAAUAAGAUUUAUCUAAUUGUUAGUAAGCAUUCUAAUUGAAUCAAAUGACUAUUUUCCAUUGUAUAGGCUAAUAAGGUUUAUCUAAUUUGUAAAUAAUUAAGAAUUUUAAUUAUAUUGAAUAAUUUACAGAUUUAUGGUACAAAAUUUCAAUUAGUUCACUACAACAUUUUCGACCCUUGGCUGCAAAAAAAUUGCAGGCGCCAUAGGUGAAAAUUUUGCGGCUAAUGUAUGGAAAAGUAUGAUUGUUCUUGUUUAUGGGAUUCAAUAGCAAAAUUAAAGUUUAGUUGUAUAUUAUAUGACUGCAAUCUUAAAUCAUAUGGUAGCAGAUACAAUGUGCAAUUAAAAGGCAUAAGGUAAAGACACAUAUAACCUUCCAAUAUGCAACAAAUUGCACCAAGUUUUAUGAUAAAAACACAUGUUCCUUUAAAAUCAAAUUACAACAACUAAUGCCUCAAAAACUAUUUUCAAAGGUCUUUACAAUGUGUACAAUAUGAGAUUUCAUUAAGAAUGAUCAACAAAUUUUAGUAAUCUCACUCUCUUUCUCUCUUCUUCUCUUUAAUUCUUGUCUGUACAUAUUUGUUUGUCCAUUCUCCAACCUAAUAAAACCAUCUAACAUUAUAAUUCCCAACCUUCUUUACUUGCAAAGACUAAUUUGCAAGAUAAUAUUAAUUUACAAGUAGUUCAUUAUAUAAUAUAAGACAAAGCAUACUCAUUGACCAACUAACAAAAAUUUAUUUAUCCUCUUUGAUUUGAUUUGAAAAUAAAGCAAAAAAGGGAAAAAAAAGAAAGAUAGAAAAUUGGUAACUUCAUAAAUAGAUUCAUUAUUUGUCCUCUUUCAUAUUUAAGUCUCUUUUAGCAUGGUACUACACGAGUUUUAGAUUAUGCAUGUGAAGGACCCGACUCUAUUGAUCACCUUGGCUGGUGGACAAAACCAAGCAUUACCUUUUCCAAGAGGACUUCUCUCCACAAACGUCUAGGUGUCUUAUGGCAGCCCCUCAAUGAUGGUGAUCUCAAAUUCAACGUUGAUGGAUCUACUAAAGGCAAAUCGAGGUUAGCUGGUUAUGGUGGCGUCCUUAGGAAUUCAGACGGGUUUGUUGUUGGGGUUUCCUUCAGCUCCCUUGGUUGCCAAGAGUCUAACUUUGCAAAACUUAUGGCCAUCCUUUAUGCUUUUCGCCUCUUUACCUCAUUUCCUUAUAAUGGGUCUAACUUGAUCAUCGAAUCUAACUCAAAGGUUGCUACCUCAUGGACUAAUAAUGAAUUGCAGCGACCUUGGAAUUCUUGGCGAGUCUUAAUGAAAUUGAUGCACUGCUUCACUCACUUGGUCAUGUCACUCUCUCACACAUUCUAAGGGAAGAUAAUGUCUUUCCUGAGUCCUUAGCCAAGUAUGGGGUUGACAGGAAUUCUACUUUUUCUGCUUGGUGGUGAUGACGAUUGCAAUCUGCUUUCAAAUACGUUUUCUUCACAUUAUUUGCUCCUUUUAGUUUAUGGUGUGUUUGUUUUUGCUUUGAUGCUGUCACAAUACAAAGGAUAGGGGAAUCCUUUCAUUUUUGAUCAUUUUUUCUAUCUCAGUUUGCUCUACUUAUUUUCUGUUUCAUGAUGUGGGGACCUUUUCGACAAGAGUCAUCUUGUUUUAGUCUGUUUAACAGGCGGAGUCACUACUUUCCUUGAGUAGCAGUUACUACCUUUUGUAACUAUUUUCACUAUCAAUGAAAUCUUUGAUUGGCUGAGUAAAAAAAAAAAACAUUGAAGAUUGGAAAGCACAUUCUUGACAAGAUGGAUUAAUUGUAUUUCAAAAAGUCGAACUUAACCUCAAAGUUACUUUAGGAUCAUUUUUUUACAAAUUUUCUCUUGAUUUGUAAGAUUUGAAUGUAAGAUGUAUGUGAUACCCACACCAAAAUCGCAUAGAAAAACAAAAUUAGAUAAAUUAAUAGAAUUGAUGCACAAACAUAGUGACAAAGCACCAAAUAAAAAAAUGGUAAUAGACUAACAAAACAUAGGAAAUUUUCAUAAUUUAGAAAGACAUACCUUCUAUAGGCUUAGUUUCACAAGCAUAUAGAAAGCUUUUCAUCGACUCUUAAAUAUGUCUCAUUUGAUUUUCUCCCCCAACCAUGAAUUACAGGUUCUAAGCUCUGAAUACGAAAGUAAAUUUGUAAACUUGCUGCUAUAACAUUAAACAUGAUUUAUAUGUAUUGGAAUUACCAUACAUGCCAAUACAUAAAUCUUCAGGUAUAUAAGGUAGCAAAAAAUCACUAACUUAUGUCACUUCAUUCUUAAAUGGGGAUAUAUGCUUUGGAAUUUUAUUUCAUUUUCCUCACAUUCCAAGUUUUAUCUCAUUCUGUUUUCCUUUCUUCUCUCACUUUUAAUAGCUAAGAAAAGUAUUAUAAGGUUGAUAAAAUAAAUACUGGAUCUUCUUACUAAAAAAUACAAUAAUAUCUUAAUUCUUUUUUACUUAUAUUUUAAUACUUACAUCUUCGUCUUGGAGCAGCAUUUUAAACAAACAAAAAGUGGAACACAUGGAAUCUUAAUUAAUUAACACAGAGUAAAUGUGAAUUAAGAUCACCUCAGAAGAUUUUGCACUAGAUGUGAACUAAAGGGUAUCAUUAAGGUGUGAAGACCUUUCCUUAACACGUUCCUACAAAAUUAACAAAUAAAUUAAAAGUAUAAUAUUUAAAAAGCACUAAUAUAAACUUGAACUACAUAUAUUAUGAUCAAAAUGAAAAGAAAAUGAAAGGAUAAAGAGAGAUAAAUUAACAGCACUAUUGUUGUCAAUACCGUUUAAAGCAUUAAUCUCCAAUGCUGUUGAGUUUUAGCAAACUAUUUUAUCCUUGUUCUGUUACUCAUAUACUUAGAUGUCAUAAAGCACUCUAACAAAAUUAAUGGUUAAUAUAAUAAUGCAACUUGUCAAUACCACUCUAAAGUUUUCAUUAUUAAAAUACUAUGCCAAACAAAUAUAAAUUAAGAAAUAGAUUAAUAGAAGAAUGAAAAAAGAAAUGAAGAAAAGACAUAGAUAUUUGAAUAGCAGCCCAAUGCUAUUAAGAGCUUGCACCUGGAGAUACAUUCGAUUGAAGGCCAAAAAACUGAAAUUUGCUUUAAAUUAAUUAAAGUUGUUCUAUUGGAAAUUCAAAGUCAGGCCAUUCAAUGCAUUUCUGGUACUCUAGUUUGAUAUAAAGUUAAUGAACACCAUCUUUGCCUUGAAAAACCAAAUCUAAGAACUUGAAAAUUUAACCAAAACUUAAACAUUUAGAUCAUGCAGAGCUAUCAUCUACAAACUACAUAAAAGGUCUUUCUACCAUAAACUAAGGAGCUUAUUUUCUCUUCUUGCAGGAGAAGUUGCUUGCGUCGAUGCAAGGUAUUUUUUAUAGUUCCAACUUAAUUUAACUACUCUUCAUUUUAUGAAAUCAUGCUCAACUAUAAUCUUAUUGACAUCAUGGCAUGAAAGGCUAACUAGAUGUUUACAAAGACAAUGGUGCAAGGUUCUCAGGCUUUAUUCACAACUGGUGCUUAAAUCAAUAAAUCAUGCUCAAAGUCCCUAAUUAUCAUUACAACAAACCCUAAUCUAAACUUGAACUACAUAAAUCAUGAUCAAAUUCUUUUUUAAAAAAAGAGAGAGCAAAUAAAGAGUACCUGAAUCAAGGAUUACACAAACAUGUAACUAUGAGCUGAAACACAAUAAAAGCUCUAUUCAACAUAUAUAUUUGGUGAAGAAAUAAUGAAAAAAAUUAACAUAAAUUUGAAAAAAUAAUGAAGAAAGUUAACAUAAAAUCAAAAGACUUGAGAAAAUCAUCUUAAUAACUAAUCAAGAAUCUUUAGAUCCAUGCCAACCAAGAAUCUUCUUAGUAAGCAAACGGGAAAAUGAACAAAUCAUCCAUCAUUAUUAGUUGAAUGAAGAAUCGAAGAAUGUUUAGUAAAAUUAUCUGAUGAAAUUCUAUUCAAGAAAAAGAAAAAAAAAUAGGAUUUGGUGAAAUUCGAUGAUGAGAAAUGAAAAGUGAAACAAUCUGAAAAAAGUUUGGUGAGAAAUGAAGUAAGAGAGAGGAAGAGUUGAACAAUAGGAAAAAAGAUUUGUUAAAAUUCACAAAUGGCUGAUUGUUUAUUUGGGCUGUCUUGGUAAAAUAAUUAUAUGGGCCAUAGUUGUCUUUAUUUUGUGGGCUUGUCUUUCUCUUAUCAAAAUCAAUUCUAAUUUAUUUUAAGAUAAAUAUAUUUUAAUUUUCUUUAAGUGAUUACACUGUAAAUAGUGCAGCUAAAUAAAAAUGUAUUAAAUGUUAUUGGAAGAAUUUAGUUAUGUUAAAAUAAUUGCAACUAAAAUUGUGCAUUAAAAAGUAAAAAAUGUUGUAGUGUUUAUAUUUCAAACAUUAUAUUUUAGAAACAUUUGUAUUUAUAUAUAAGUAUUUUUAAGAUAAAGAUCAAUCAAGUAUUUUAUGUGAGUUGCAUGGGACAUUAUUAUUAUCAAUAAAAUUUAUCCAAUUUAUAAAAAAAAUUUAAUUCCAUCCAAUGGCUUUAAAUUAAAGAUAUCUAACUUUUAACUUAGUUAAGGUUUCUUUGUAUAUUAUCAUGUACAACAUUAAUUGUUAUCUAUGUAGGAGAUGAUAUGGACUCUUACCCACAAUUGUAAAGAGGUGAGACAUAGUAAGUAAUUUCGCAUAAAAUUAUAAUUGAGAUUUUUUUAUGAACGUUUAAAGUUUGUUUUUCGACGGAAUAAGAUUUUUAUGCUUGUAUCUUUUUCACAUAAAUAUUUUUCGACGGAAUAAGUUUAAAAUUAUAAUUUCGUAUAAAAUUAUAAUUGUAUCUUUUUCACCUAACGUCAAAUUCUUUUCAACAUAUCCAAAUUACAAGCAUUGGAGAAAAAGUAGAAAUGUACACAGAAAUAUUGGUCAAAGAGGUAAUUGACAGGAAACUUGUCAAUGGAAUAGGGCGCAAGAGCACAAGCAUUGACCUUGGGUGCUAUAAAAAGAGUGGGAUAGGAGAUCUGGUAAUCUCUCCAGCCAGUGACCCAAUGAAGUCGCCUAGCUUCUCAAUGCCGCUAUUUCUUUUUUUUGUCUUCAUAGGCAACUUUGGCCCAUACUCACGAGAGCUUUCUGCAAUGCCUUGUCCUACAUUUUCACAUUCACGCCUACACUCAAAACAGCUCUUCCUAUUCAUCCAUGCUGGAGCUUUCCAUUCGGAAUGCUAUGUUCUCCACACCAGCUACCCUCAAACCUUUAAUCGUACGCCCUCCCACAUUUAAGCAACAAUUAUUUUUGCUUUUAGCUCAGCAAGCAACCAUUAAUUGCUCAAGAAAACAUGACAUGCAUUUAUACAAGCUUCUUUUACUCCCCUGUUUCUUGGUAGAAUUGAUCAACUAAUCGCAUUGAUGCAAGAAAGUUUUCCAGAGUUUGGAUUAGUUAAAGAAGACUGCAUUGAAAUGAGCUGGAUCCAAAGUAUCCUCUACUUUGCAGAAAUCCCACAAAGUGAAUCCUUAGAUGUCUUGCUUAACAGGACAGUUACAGCAGGCUUCUUUAAAGGAAAAUCGGACUAUGUUGCAGAACCUAUUCCUGAAAUUGCAUUAGAAGGUCUAUGGAAAUGGUUUUACGAAGAUGAAUCUGGGACGUUGCAGCUUAUCUUUAGUCCUUACGGUGGCAUAAUGGAUGAGAUUUCAGAGUCUGAGACUCCUUUCCCUCACAGGGCAGGGAAUUUAUAUAACAUUCAUUAUGGAGUAUCAUGGGAAGAAGAAGAUGCUUCAACAUCUCAGAAGCAUAUAAAUUUUAUGAGAAGGCUUUACAAGUACAUGGAACCCUACGUUUCAAAAUCUCCCAGAGCAGCUUACAUGAACUAUAGGGAUCUUGAUCUUGGAAGUAAUAACAAAGGCAACUACACAAGCUAUAGACAAGCAAGCAGAUGGGCUCUUAAAUAUUUCAAGAAUAACUUUAACAAAUUGAUUCAUGUGAAGGGUAUGGUUGAUUGGCAAAAUUUCUUUAGAUAUGAAUAAAGUGUCCCAUCUCUUUUGUGAGAAUGAGGAAGAUAGAUGAUAUCAUUAUUUUUUAAUCAUACCUUUAAUUGUACGCCCUCCCACAUUUAAGCAACAAUUAUUUUUUCUUUUAGCUCAGUAAUUGUAUGCCAAGAGCUUUGGAGAUAUGUUGGAGUACCGACAAGUGCUAAACAUGUUAAAUCGAUCAACGCCCAUUUUGAUUUGCGUAUUUCUUUCCAUAUAUAGAAUUUUAAAAAAUAUUUAUUUAAAUUCUACUUGACAUUUCUGUUUUUAUCUUAAGGUGAAUGAUGGAAAUAUAUAUGUACAACGUUCAUAAUUUUAGUGAUCAAAGUGUAAUUUUCCGAAAGGUGAAUGAUCGAAACAAAACAAUUCGAAAAACUUUUGUGACCAACUGAAUAAUUUUCCCGGCAACUAUAGUCUAUAUAUGGACCCCGUGCAUGCAGUUAUUUCACGUGGAAAAAGGGUUUGGUAUGUUUAUCUUUCCUCAUGCCGUGAUGUAUUUCCAAAAUCCUUUGGUCUUAGGAUCUCAUGACGCAUUCAUUUGCUUCGAGAAAGGAAGUUUGUAAAACUUUUUCUACGAUAAAUUGCGAACGACUCUUUGACCUUUUUGUUUCCAAUGAUACAAGAGGAAUUUAAGACGUGUAAGUUAAUUAAUUUAUCAUUAUCUUCAAAUUGUACUUAUCCUUAUUUUGGAUAUGGGAGAGAAAGAGAGAGGAAAAUUAAUUACUAAAUAUGUUUUGAUAAAUAUUUGUGUAAUUUCCAAUAGCACUAUCUUUGACUUUUAAUGAUAAAACUUUGUGUAAUUUUCAAGUCUAUACUCAAGCAAUUAUAUAUUAAUUAUGUUUUGAGUCAAUAUGACGAUAAAUACGAGAUUAAUUGGUAGGGGAGAUUUGACUAUUUAUUUAUUUAUUUGGAAUUCUUGCAACAAGUUUAAGCUUCGACAAAAAUUCUUUCAAGCUAUUGGACAAAUUUAUAGUUCAAUUGAUCAAGGUAUAAAUUUCUUGCUGAAAUUUUAAACACAUGUGUUAGGGUUAACAAGAAUUGUCGUCCUAAGUGGGAAAAUUUGAAAGAAGAUAAAAGAAAAUUCUCUUAAGCAUACAACUUUGGAAAAUAUAUAGUUUACAAAGAGAUAUCUCUAUGUGUUAGCAUGUGACUAUUAAAAUGAAAGGGCAUUUACAGAUGAAAAAAUUUGUUGAUAUCGUGAAAUACCGAUUGGAAAAUUUAUAUCUAAUCUAUAUUUAUUUAUAUUACAAAAAUUUACAAAUAUUUAUAUUUAUAAUAAUUAUUAUUUAAAAAUAAAGAAUAAAAUAAAUAUUCAUAUGCAUUGCACGUGACAACAAAAGUAAUGAGAUAAAAAAUGUAUUUCUCGUUAUGUACAUUAAAUAUUUUGGUCAAAAACCUUCAAUCGAACUAAAAACAAUGUAUUUUGUUCAUUGUUUUGCAAUUGACAACGAUAUAUUCUUUUGUUUAAACUAAUUUUAUUGAAAGAUGAGACAUCGUAUAUAGUUUCGUAAAAAAUUAUACAAAACGUGAUGGCCAAGAGAAACGUCAAACUAAUGGAAAAUAAGGGGAGAAACGUAGAAAUAUAUGUACACAAAUAUUUGUCAAAAUGGAAAUGGAGACGCAACGUGUCUUGUCAACGGAAUAGGUUGCAAGGCAGGGCAUUCACCUUGGGUGCUAUAAGAAGCAAGGGAUGGGAGCCUGGCAAUCUCUCAAGCACAAAUUCGAGUAACCCAAAAUGAAGUCGCCUAGCUUCUCAAUGCCUCUCUUUCUUCUUGUUCUGUUCUCAUUUUCGUGGGCAACUUCGGCCCGUACUCACGACAGCUUUCUCCAAUGCCUGUCCUUACAUUCUGAUAUUAAUGCUAGACUCAUUUACACUCAAAACAGUUCUUCCUAUGAAUCCGUGUUGGAGCUUUCCGUUCGGAAUGCUAGGUUUUCUACACCAACUACCCCGAGACCUUUAGUCAUAGUUACGCCCUCCAACGUAUCCCACAUCCAAGCAACCAUUAAUUGCUCAAGGGAACAUGACAUGCAGAUUAGGAUUCGAAGUGGUGGCCAUGACUACGAGGGUCUAUCGUAUGUUUCUAAAGUUCCGUUUGUCAUCAUUGAUUUGAUUAACAUGCGAUCAAUUGAUGUUGACACGGAAGAAAAGACUGCAUGGAUUCAGGCUGGUGCAACUAUAGGCGAACUGUAUUACAGAAUUGCAGAGAAAAGCGCAACUCUUGCCUUCCCAGCUGGUGUUUGCCCCACUGUGGGCGUUGGGGGUCACUUUAGCGGGGGAGGUUAUGGCAUGAUGACGCGCAAGUUUGGCCUUGCUGCUGAUCAAAUAAUUGAUGCACACAUAGUUACUGUCGAUGGAAGAAUUCUUGAUAGAAACUCUAUGGGGGAAGAUCUGUUUUGGGCCAUUCGAGGAGGUGGAGGAGCCAGUUUUGGAGUCAUUGUGGCAUGGAAAGUAAAGUUAGUUUCUGUUCCAUCAACUGUGACUGUAUUUACAGUGAACAGGACAUUAGAAGAGAAUGCAACAAAGCUUGUUCACAAGUGGCAAUCUGUUGCAGAAGCGAUUGAUGAGGAUUUAUACUUCAGACUCUUUUUAAGAGCCGUGAAUUCAAGUCAAGAAGGAAAAAGAACAGUACAAGCUUCUUUUACUUCCUUGUUUCUUGGUAGAAUUGAUCAACUAAUCGCAUUGAUGCAAGAAAGUUUUCCAGAGUUUGGAUUAGUUAAAGAAGACUGCAUUGAAAUGAGCUGGAUCCAAAGUAUCCUCUACUUUGCAGAAAUCCCACAAAGUGAAUCCUUAGAUGUCUUGCUUAACAGGACAGUUACAGCAGGCUUCUUUAAAGGAAAAUCGGACUAUGUUACAGAACCUAUUCCUGAAAUUGCAUUAGAAGGUCUAUGGCAAUGGUUUUACGAAGAUGAAUCUGAGACGUUGGGGCUUAUCUUUAGUCCUUACGGUGGCAUAAUGGAUGAGAUUUCAGAGUCUGAGACUCCUUUCCCUCACAGGGCAGGGAAUUUAUAUAACAUUCAUUAUGGAGUAUCAUGGGAAGAAGA